AAAAAAACAUAGUUACUGCAGCUACAUGAAUUCCUUUUAGCUAUUACUUUUAAAAAACACGGUCUGAAGUGUGUAUGACUUUGAAGCAUCACGAAGAGGGAAAAAAGCUUUCCAGACCUUUCCAGGAGCCUAGUUUUAAAUGUCCCAGCUGGAACCAGUUCCUGAUUUUGCAGGAUUUUUGCAAAACUUAGUGGUCCAACACUUGCCCUUCAGUUGUAAUGACACUCAAUUGAGUAGGAUUUCCAAGGUCUUCAAGGACAUGCUGAACUACGCAGGUGCAAACACUCAUGGUGAUGAACACUCAAGUCAAACAGUCACCUGUAUUUUUCCCUGCCUUCUCUAGAUGUGAAAUUUUUAAGACAGCUACAGCUAUGACAAGUAUUCAAAAUACAUCAAUAAGACACCAAACUGUCUCAAAACUGAUUUCAGAGAAGACAUCACACACAAUUAUUCUCUUCUUUGCCUUAUGGCAUUUUAAUCUUUUGCCUGACUUGCAUCAUCUUUUUAAAACUUGCCCUGCAACCAGACGGGUCACAAACUUCCCUUAAAAAGGGGGAAAUUUCACCUAAUUUGGUAUCCAAAUGGACUUUCAGGAUCUAUGAAUGAAAGCUGGCAUUAGGUUGCUGGCCACACAGUGAAAGGAAGCAAAUCAACCCUGUGACAGCUCCAAACCCACUAACCUGGAGCUCAGGAGGGAUGAAAUGGAAAGGCAGUCCUUCUCCUGCUGUGAUCAGGACUGUGAUCAGCACAGUGAUUAUGGCCACAAAGCAGAGCACUGACGAGCUGGGACAACCCAAGAGAACAACAAGCUGUGCUGGGCUCAGCUUGAAAACCCCAACCCCAGCUGUUGACAAGGCUUCAGAGCUCUUCACAGGACUGGAAAUGCAAAAUGAACUUCCAUGAGACCUGCCCCAUGCAUUUCUUCCUAACAUGACCAUGACAUAACCCAUCAGCCUCAAGGAAUUGCUUUACCAGAGGCGAGGGACUCAUCCACCUGCAAAUGUAGAGCCUCAAAAAUAAAUCUCCUUAAUGGGAGAGGCUGUCCUACAAAGCAGCUGACAAAUCUGUCCCGUCUGUGCUUUUUGUGUGGCGCUACAAAAUUAGCAAGUUGUUAUUCAAUGAACAUGAAAUUACUGAAGAACAGAAACUAAAGUGCCGUGAAUAGCGCUGUGCUUUCUGACACCACAAAGAGGGGGCUGUUCUGCUGGGAGGUGCCAGGCCGGGGAACACGGCUUUCCUUUGUUCGUGGUUUUGCUUCAGGGACAGCGGCAGCUGAUGUCCCCAGGCAGCCACAUGUUCAUCAUCUGCUCUUGAGAACAGUGUUUUAGUGCCCUGUGGCAGUGUUUUAGUGCCUUGUUUGGGACAUCUGGCUCCAAAUGCAG
Molecule: long non-coding RNA, 1382 nt
Organism: Anas platyrhynchos (mallard)
Lineage: Eukaryota; Metazoa; Chordata; Aves; Anseriformes; Anatidae
Source: RefSeq, a predicted model, not a curated record